Molecule: ribosomal RNA, 449 nt
Filed under: uncultured bacterium
Lineage: Bacteria
Description: partial 16S ribosomal RNA
Rfam family: Bacterial small subunit ribosomal RNA
Source: RNAcentral
GUCGAGAAUCUUUCACAAUGGGGGCAACCCUGAUGGAGCGACGCCGCGUGGAGGAUAAGGUCUUCGGAUUGUAAACUCCUGUCAUGUGUGAACAAGGUUGCUUGGUUAAUACCUGGGCAAAUUGAUGGUAACGCAAGAGGAAGAGACGGCUAACUCUGUGCCAGCAGCCGCGGUAAUACAGAGGUCUCAAGCGUUGUUCGGAAUCACUGGACGUAAAGGGUGCGUAGGUGGCGUGGUAAGUCAGAUGUGAAAGCCCGGGGCACAACCUCGGAACUGCAUCCGAUACUGCCAUGCUAGAGUACUGGAGAGGUGACUAGAAUUCUCGGUGUAGCAGUGAAAUGCGUAGAUAUCGAGAGGAAUACCAAAGGCGUAGGCAGGUCACUGGACAGUUACUGACACUGAGGCACGAAGGCCAGGGGAGCGAACGGGAUUAGAAACCCGGGUAGUCC